GGGUGUUUCAUCUGCCCUCUGCAAUGCGGGGAAGUACGUUUGGGACUGGCCCACUGUGGCUCGUGGUGAAGGCUUUGCACUUGCCCCCAAAGUGUUGACUUCCCGUGGAGGAGCAGCCGAAAUUUCUGGAUAUCUCAAGGGAUGCCAUAUUAACGAUGAUCCGGAUGGCCAAAAUGAAGAGGAAGCUAUUGUCUAUAGAGGGGUGUCCCAGAGCUAUUACAACGUGAGGGAUUUUUCAGUAGUAUCUCAUUCUCUAGCCGAAUACAAUAGUAAUUUGACAGUUCCUAGCAUACCUCCAACUUCGAGGUCACAUAGUCUCCCAUGUGGUUUGAAUGAGGUUCCAACGGGUGUUG
Molecule: unclassified non-coding RNA, 353 nt
Filed under: Hevea brasiliensis (rubber tree)
Lineage: Eukaryota; Viridiplantae; Streptophyta; Magnoliopsida; Malpighiales; Euphorbiaceae
Source: RNAcentral